AGAGUUUGAUCAUGGCUCAGAUUGAACGCUGGCGGUAUGCUUUACACAUGCAAGUCGAACGGCAGCACGGGGGCAACCCUGGUGGCGAGUGGCGGACGGGUGAGUAAUAUAUCGGAACAUAUCCGGAAGUGGGGGAUAGCUCGGCGAAAGCCGGAUUAAUACCGCAUAUGCCCUGAGGGGGAAAGGAGGGGAUCCGCAAGGACCUUUCGCUUUCGGAGUGGCCGAUAUCGGAUUAGCUAGUUGGUGAGGUAAAGGCUCACCAAGGCGACGAUCCGUAGCUGGUCUGAGAGGACGACCAGCCACACUGGAACUGAGACACGGUCCAGACUCCUACGGGAGGCAGCAGUGGGGAAUUUUGGACAAUGGGGGAAACCCUGAUCCAGCCAUACCGCGUGAGUGAAGAAGGCCUUCGGGUUGUAAAGCUCUUUCAGACGGAAAGAAACGGUCACGGCUAAUACCUGUGGCUAAUGACGGUACCGUAAGGAGAAGCACCGGCUAACUACGUGCCAGCAGCCGCGGUAAUACGUAGGGUGCGAGCGUUAAUCGGAAUUACUGGGCGUAAAGCGUGCGCAGGCGGUUUUGUAAGACAGAUGUGAAAUCCCCGGGCUUAACCUGGGAACUGCAUUUGUGACUGCAAGACUAGAGUACGGCAGAGGGGGGUAGAAUUCCACGUGUAGCAGUGAAAUGCGUAGAUAUGUGGAGGAAUACCGAUGGCGAAGGCAGCCCCCUGGGUCGAUACUGACGCUCAUGCACGAAAGCGUGGGGAGCAAACAGGAUUAGAUACCCUAGUAGUCC
RNAcentral lists this ribosomal RNA (795 nucleotides) under uncultured bacterium. RNAcentral's name for it is "bacterial SSU rRNA". It matches the Rfam family "Bacterial small subunit ribosomal RNA", at positions 8 to 796 of the family's 1533-position model. The record is from RNAcentral.